Molecule: ribosomal RNA, 383 nt
Filed under: Providencia rettgeri
Lineage: Bacteria; Pseudomonadati; Pseudomonadota; Gammaproteobacteria; Enterobacterales; Morganellaceae
Description: bacterial SSU rRNA
Rfam family: Bacterial small subunit ribosomal RNA
Source: RNAcentral
UAAUUGAAGAGUUUGAUCAUGGCUCAGAUUGAACGCUGGCGGCAGGCCUAACACAUGCAAGUCGAGCGGUAACAGGGGAAGCUUGCUUCUCGCUGACGAGCGGCGGACGGGUGAGUAAUGUAUGGGGAUCUGCCCGAUAGAGGGGGAUAACUACUGGAAACGGUAGCUAAUACCGCAUAAUCUCUUAGGAGCAAAGCAGGGGAACUUCGGUCCUUGCGCUAUCGGAUGAACCCAUAUGGGAUUAGCUAGUAGGUGGGGUAAUGGCUCACCUAGGCGACGAUCCCUAGCUGGUCUGAGAGGAUGAUCAGCCACACUGGGACUGAGACACGGCCCAGACUCCUACGGGAGGCAGCAGUGGGGAAUAUUGCACAAUGGGCGCAAGC